RNAcentral lists this ribosomal RNA (486 nucleotides) under uncultured bacterium. RNAcentral describes it as "partial 16S ribosomal RNA". It matches the Rfam family "Bacterial small subunit ribosomal RNA", at positions 30 to 507 of the family's 1533-position model. The record is from RNAcentral.
AUUGAACGCUGGCGGCAUGCCUUACACAUGCAAGUCGAACGGCAGCACGGGUGCUUGCACCUGGUGGCGAGUGGCGAACGGGUGAGUAAUACAUCGGAACAUGUCCUGUAGUGGGGGAUAGCCCGGCGAAAGCCGGAUUAAUACCGCAUACGAUCUACGGAUGAAAGCGGGGGACCUUCGGGCCUCGCGCUAUAGGGUUGGCCGAUGGCUGAUUAGCUAGUUGGUGGGGUAAAGGCCUACCAAGGCGACGAUCAGUAGCUGGUCUGAGAGGACGACCAGCCACACUGGGACUGAGACACGGUCCAGACUCCUACGGGAGGCAGCAGUGGGGAAUUUUGGACAAUGGGCGAAAGCCUGAUCCAGCAAUGCCGCGUGUGUGAAGAAGGCCUUCGGGUUGUAAAGCACUUUUGUCCGGAAAGAAAUCCUUGGCUCUAAUACAGUCGGGGGAUGACGGUACCGGAAGAAUAAGCACCGGCUAACUACGUG